Molecule: ribosomal RNA, 504 nt
Filed under: Bacillus safensis
Lineage: Bacteria; Bacillati; Bacillota; Bacilli; Caryophanales; Bacillaceae
Description: bacterial SSU rRNA
Rfam family: Bacterial small subunit ribosomal RNA
Source: RNAcentral
UGCUCCCGGAUGUUAGCGGCGGACGGGUGAGUAACACGUGGGUAACCUGCCUGUAAGACUGGGAUAACUCCGGGAAACCGGAGCUAAUACCGGAUAGUUCCUUGAACCGCAUGGUUCAAGGAUGAAAGACGGUUUCGGCUGUCACUUACAGAUGGACCCGCGGCGCAUUAGCUAGUUGGUGGGGUAAUGGCUCACCAAGGCGACGAUGCGUAGCCGACCUGAGAGGGUGAUCGGCCACACUGGGACUGAGACACGGCCCAGACUCCUACGGGAGGCAGCAGUAGGGAAUCUUCCGCAAUGGACGAAAGUCUGACGGAGCAACGCCGCGUGAGUGAUGAAGGUUUUCGGAUCGUAAAGCUCUGUUGUUAGGGAAGAACAAGUGCGAGAGUAACUGCUCGCACCUUGACGGUACCUAACCAGAAAGCCACGGCUAACUACGUGCCAGCAGCCGCGGUAAUACGUAGGUGGCAAGCGUUGUCCGGAAUUAUUGGGCGUAAAGGGCUC